Molecule: non-coding RNA, 46 nt
Filed under: Schistosoma mansoni
Lineage: Eukaryota; Metazoa; Platyhelminthes; Trematoda; Strigeidida; Schistosomatidae
Source: RNAcentral
AUACUGCUGAGGAGUCCCACAAUAAGACGAAACGGCCGUUGAGUGU